RNAcentral lists this long non-coding RNA (596 nucleotides) under Gossypium barbadense (sea-island cotton). Its description in RNAcentral is "long non-coding RNA (GBAR_LNC019005)". The record is from RNAcentral. Lineage: Eukaryota; Viridiplantae; Streptophyta; Magnoliopsida; Malvales; Malvaceae.
CAGAUCUGUGGGAAAUUUCAGGUAACCUUAUUAUUGUAGACAUUAUUUGAUUUUUUAUGGUUUUAUUUUCAAUGUCGAAAAAGACUUGCUGGGUUUGUAUUUUCUGUUUCUAUGUUAUGCAUUGUUCAGUAAUUGUAAAAGGGUUUUAGGUUUUUAUGCACGAAAUUGGGUAAUGCAAGGUAAAUAAUAAAUAUGCAGAUCAGUAAUGUCUAAUCCUGCAAAUUUUUGUAUUUUUGGUAAAUAAUAAACUGUUGCUAGUUGUUGUUUUUGUAUUUGGAAUACUUGUAAAGUGCCAGUAUUUGGUUUUUUGAACUGCAUGUGUAGUUAAACUGUUAUUGGUUGUUUUUGUUGGAUUGUUUGUGCUACAUUGUUGGUUUUGACCUGUUUCUGAUAUUAAACUGUUGUUUUUGUUUUUUCUUUGGACUGCUUGAGUAAUUAGGAUGAGCAUUUUGCCUAUAUUUUCACUACUAUUGGUGUUAGCUCUGAACUAUUUACUAAAAUGAUUAAAAUUGGUUCAUGACACUCUUUUCCUAUGCCAUUGAAUUGUUCUAAGUAUGAGUGCAAUCAUACUCAUAGUAGCUUUUAUUAUUUUUCAU